This 55-nucleotide transfer RNA is filed under the name Gordionus alpestris. Its description in RNAcentral is "tRNA-Ile". The record is from RNAcentral. Lineage: Eukaryota; Metazoa; Nematomorpha; Gordioida; Chordodea; Parachordodidae.
GGUACUAUAAUAAGCUUUUUGAUAGAAAGUUUUAGUUACUUAGUAACUAGUACCG